This 458-nucleotide ribosomal RNA is filed under the name uncultured bacterium. Its description in RNAcentral is "SSU rRNA". It matches the Rfam family "Bacterial small subunit ribosomal RNA", at positions 26 to 518 of the family's 1533-position model. The record is from RNAcentral.
AGAAUCAACGCUGGCGGCGUGCCUAACACAUGCAAGUCGCACGAGAAAGGGGAGCAAUCCCUGAGUACAGUGGCGCACGGGUGAGUAACACGUGAAUAAUCUACCUCCGAGUGGGGAAUAACUGAGAGAAAUCUUAGCUAAUACCGCAUAACACUUACGAGUCAAAGCAGCAAUGCGCUUGGAGAGGAGUUCGCGGCCGAUUAGUUAGUUGGCGGGGUAAUGGCCCACCAAGACGAUGAUCGGUAUCCGGCCUGAGAGGGCGCACGGACACACUGGAACUGAAACACGGUCCAGACUCCUACGGGAGGCAGCAGUGGGGAAUUUUGCGCAAUGGGGGAAACCCUGACGCAGCAACGCCGCGUGGAGGAUGAAGCCCCUUGGGUGUAAACUCCUUUCGAUCGGGAAGAUAAUGACGGUACCGAUAUAAGAGCCCCGGCUAACUUCGCGCCAGCAGCCGC